RNAcentral lists this ribosomal RNA (258 nucleotides) under uncultured bacterium. RNAcentral describes it as "partial 16S ribosomal RNA". It matches the Rfam family "Bacterial small subunit ribosomal RNA", at positions 793 to 1055 of the family's 1533-position model. The record is from RNAcentral.
GUCCACGCCGUAAACGUUGGGCACUAGGUGUGGGACUCUAUCGACGGGUUCCGUGCCGUAGCUAACGCAUUAAGUGCCCCGCCUGGGGAGUACGGCCGCAAGGCUAAACUCAAAGGAAUUGACGGGGCCCGCACAAGCGGCGGAGCGUGUGGCUUAAUUCGAUGCAACGCGAAGAACCUUACCUGGGCUUGACAUUUUGGUAAAGCAGGUGAAAGCCUGUGUGCUUCGGCGCCAAAACAGGUGGUGCAUGGCUGUCGU